Molecule: ribosomal RNA, 651 nt
Filed under: uncultured bacterium
Lineage: Bacteria
Description: bacterial SSU rRNA
Rfam family: Bacterial small subunit ribosomal RNA
Source: RNAcentral
AGUCGAGCGGGGACACGGGGCUUCGGCCUUGUGUUCUAGCGGCGGACGGGUGAGUAACGCGUGAGCAAUCUGUCCCAGACAGGGGGAUAACAACUGGAAACAGUUGCUAAUACCGCAUAAGACCACGGCCUCGCAUGGGGCUGGGGUAAAAGUGGGAACACAGUUUGGGGUGAGCUCGCGUCCCAUUAGCUAGUUGGUGAGGUAACGGCCCACCAAGGCGACGAUGGGUAGCCGACCUGAGAGGGUGAUCGGCCACACUGGAACUGAGACACGGUCCAGACUCCUACGGGAGGCAGCAGUGGGGAAUAUUGGGCAAUGGGCGAAAGCCUGACCCAGCAACGCCGCGUGAGGGAUGAAUGUUUUCGGAUUGUAAACCUCUGUCCUCAGGGACGAAGGAAGUGACGGUACCUGAGGAGGAAGCCCCGGCUAACUACGUGCCAGCAGCCGCGGUAAUACGUAGGGGGCGAGCGUUGUCCGGAAUGACUGGGCGUAAAGGGCGCGUAGGCGGCUGUGUAAGUCUGGAGUGAAAGUCCUGCUUUUAAGGUGGGAAUUGCUUUGGAGACUGCAUGGCUUGAGUGCGGAAGAGGCAAGUGGAAUUCCCAGUGUAGCGGUGAAAUGCGUAGAGAUUGGGAAGAACACCAGUGGCGAAGG